GAUGAACGCUGGCGGCGUGCCUAAUACAUGCAAGUCGAGCGAACUGAUUAGAAGCUUGCUUCUAUGACGUUAGCGGCGGACGGGUGAGUAACACGUGGGCAACCUGCCUGUAAGACUGGGAUAACUUCGGGAAACCGAAGCUAAUACCGGAUAGGAUCCUCUCCUUCAUGGGAGAUGAUUGAAAGAUGGUUUCGGCUAUCACUUACAGAUGGGCCCGCGGUGCAUUAGCUAGUUGGUGAGGUAACGGCUCACCAAGGCAACGAUGCAUAGCCGACCUGAGAGGGUGAUCGGCCACACUGGGACUGAGACACGGCCCAGACUCCUACGGGAGGCAGCAGUAGGGAAUCUUCCGCAAUGGACGAAAGUCUGACGGAGCAACGCCGCGUGAGUGAUGAAGGCUUUCGGGUCGUAAAACUCUGUUGUUAGGGAAGAACAAGUACAAGAGUAACUGCUUGUACCUUGACGGUGCCUAACCAGAAAGCCACGGCUAACUACGUGCCAGCCGCCGCCGUAA
This 514-nucleotide ribosomal RNA is filed under the name uncultured bacterium. RNAcentral's name for it is "partial 16S ribosomal RNA". It matches the Rfam family "Bacterial small subunit ribosomal RNA", at positions 28 to 523 of the family's 1533-position model. The record is from RNAcentral.